UACUGCAGAUGGGGUGCUAAGGGAGGGC
Molecule: non-coding RNA, 28 nt
Filed under: Homo sapiens (human)
Lineage: Eukaryota; Metazoa; Chordata; Mammalia; Primates; Hominidae
Source: RNAcentral